Molecule: ribosomal RNA, 544 nt
Filed under: uncultured archaeon
Lineage: Archaea
Description: bacterial SSU rRNA
Rfam family: Archaeal small subunit ribosomal RNA
Source: RNAcentral
CAGCAGGCGCGAAAACUCCACAAUGUACGACAGUACGAUGGGGUUAUCUCGAGUGCAGUCCGAUAAGGGCUGCUUUUCCAUAGAGUAAUAUCCUGUGGGAAUAAGAGGGGGGCAAGACUGGUGUCAGCCGCCGCGGUAACACCGGCCCCUCGAGUGGUGGGGACUAUUAUUUGGUCUAAAGCGUCCGUAGCUGGCUGUAUCCGUCCCCCGUUAAAUCCAGCGUCCUAAGCGUUGGACUGCGGGUGAUACCAUACAGCUAGAGGGUGGGAUAGGUGAGCGGUAUUUCUGGGGUAGGGGCGAAAUCCUUUGAUCCCAGGAGGACCACCAGUGGCGAAGGCUGCUCACUAGAACACGCCUGACGGUCAGGGACGAAAGCUGGGGCAGCGAACCGGAUUAGAUACCCGGGUAGUCCCAGCUGUAAACGAUGCCAGCUAGGUGUUGGGUCGGCCACGCGCCGCCCCAGUGCCGCAGGGAAGCCGUUAAGCUGGCCACCUGGGGAGUACGACCGCAAGGCUGAAACUUAAAGGAAUUGGCGGGGGAGCAC